GGUUGGUCUAAGCGCAAUGGUGUUUGCAGCUAAGUGAUCACAAACAGUUACGGAUUUCUUUGUUCCUUGUCCACUUGCACUGUUUUAUUUAACUAGGUUUUA
Molecule: unclassified non-coding RNA, 102 nt
Organism: Chlorocebus sabaeus (green monkey)
Lineage: Eukaryota; Metazoa; Chordata; Mammalia; Primates; Cercopithecidae
Rfam family: Y RNA
About the family: Y RNAs are components of the Ro ribonucleoprotein particle (Ro RNP), in association with Ro60 and La proteins. The Y RNAs and Ro60 and La proteins are well conserved, but the function of the Ro RNP is not known.
Source: Ensembl